RNAcentral lists this ribosomal RNA (216 nucleotides) under Glomeromycotina sp. Its description in RNAcentral is "partial small subunit ribosomal RNA". The stretch from base 40 to 216 matches the Rfam family "Eukaryotic small subunit ribosomal RNA", at positions 686 to 864 of the family's 1831-position model. The record is from RNAcentral. Lineage: Eukaryota; Fungi; Glomeromycota.
GGGUCAGUAGGUUGGUCGUGCCACCGGUACGUACUGGUCUCACUGAUUCCUCCUUCCUGAAGAACCGGAAUGCCAUUAAUUUGGUGUUGCGGGGAAACAGGACUGUUACUUUGAAAAAAUUAGAGUGUUUAAAGCAAGCUAACGCUUGAAUACAUUAGCAUGGGAUAAUGAAAUAGGACGAUCGAUCCUAUUUUGUUGGUUUCUAGGAUUGAGGUA